This 433-nucleotide ribosomal RNA is filed under the name uncultured bacterium. RNAcentral describes it as "partial 16S ribosomal RNA". It matches the Rfam family "Bacterial small subunit ribosomal RNA", at positions 29 to 507 of the family's 1533-position model. The record is from RNAcentral.
AACGAACGCUGGCGGCAGGCCUAACACAUGCAAGUCGAGCGAGGACUUCGGUCCUAGCGGCGGACGGGUGAGUAACGCGUGGGAACGUGCCCUUUGCUUCGGAAUAGCCCUGGGAAACUGGGAGUAAUACCGGAUGAGCCCUUUGGGGGAAAGAUUGAUCGGCGAAGGAUCGGCCCGCGUUGGAUUAGGUAGUUGGUGGGGUAAUGGCCUACCAAGCCGACGAUCCAUAGCUGGUUUGAGAGGAUGAUCAGCCACACUGGGACUGAGACACGGCCCAGACUCCUACGGGAGGCAGCAGUGGGGAAUCUUAGACAAUGGGGGAAACCCUGAUCUAGCCAUGCCGCGUGAGCGAUGAAGGCCUUAGGGUUGUAAAGCUCUUUCAGCUGGGAAGAUAAUGACGUUACCAGCAGAAGAAGCCCCGGCUAACUCCGUG